GGUCCUGUAGCUCAGCCUGGUAGAGCAGGUGGCUUUUAAUCACCGUGUCGCGCGUUCAAAUCGCGCCGGGACCAC
RNAcentral lists this transfer RNA (75 nucleotides) under Anaplasma platys. RNAcentral's name for it is "tRNA-Lys". It matches the Rfam family "tRNA". Rfam says of the family: Transfer RNA (tRNA) molecules are approximately 80 nucleotides in length. Their secondary structure includes four short double-helical elements and three loops (D, anti-codon, and T loops). Lineage: Bacteria; Pseudomonadati; Pseudomonadota; Alphaproteobacteria; Rickettsiales; Anaplasmataceae. The record is from RNAcentral.